GACGAACGCUGGCGGCGUGCUUAACACAUGCAAGUCGAACGGAAAGGCCCUGCUUUUGUGGGGUGCUCGAGAGGCGAACGGGUGAGUAAAACGUGAGUAACAUGCACUUGACUUUGGGAUAACUUCAGGAAACUGGGGCUAAUACCGGAUAGGAGCUCCUGCUGCAUGGUGGGGGUUGGAAAGUUUCGGCGGUUGGGGAUGGACUCGCGGCUUAUCAGCUUGUUGGUGGGGUAGUGGCUUACCAAGGCUUUGAAGGGUAGCCGGCCUGAGAGGGUGACCGGCCACAUUGGGACUGCGCUACGGCCCAGACUCCUACGGGCGGCAGCAGUGGGGAAUAUUGCACAAUGGGCGGAAGCCUGAUGCAGCAACGCCGCGUGCGGGAUGACGGCCUUCGGGUUGUAAACCGCUUUCGCCUGUGACGAAGCGUGAGUGACGGUAAUGAGUAAAGAAGCACCGGCUAACUACGUG
Molecule: ribosomal RNA, 468 nt
Filed under: uncultured bacterium
Lineage: Bacteria
Description: partial 16S ribosomal RNA
Rfam family: Bacterial small subunit ribosomal RNA
Source: RNAcentral